RNAcentral lists this ribosomal RNA (253 nucleotides) under uncultured bacterium. RNAcentral describes it as "partial 16S ribosomal RNA". It matches the Rfam family "Bacterial small subunit ribosomal RNA", at positions 524 to 776 of the family's 1533-position model. The record is from RNAcentral.
UACGAAGGGGGCUAGCGUUGUUCGGAAUUACUGGGCGUAAAGCGCACGUAGGCGGAUUUGUAAGUCAGGGGGGAAAUCCCGGGGCUCAACCUCGGAACUGCCUUUGAUACUGCAAGUCUUGAGUCCGGAAGAGGUGAGUGGAAUUCCUAGUGUAGAGGUGAAAUUCGUAGAUAUUAGGAAGAACACCAGUGGCGAAGGCGGCUCACUGGUCCGGUACUGACGCUGAGGUGCGAAAGCGUGGGGAGCAAACAGG